RNAcentral lists this long non-coding RNA (228 nucleotides) under Nicotiana benthamiana. RNAcentral describes it as "long non-coding RNA (NBEN_LNC010868)". The record is from RNAcentral. Lineage: Eukaryota; Viridiplantae; Streptophyta; Magnoliopsida; Solanales; Solanaceae.
UAAUUCAAACCUAGAAUUUUUAGGAGGUUAAGGAGGAGGGCGGCAGUGGAGACAGUAGCAGCGGCGGCGGGGGCAGUGGCGAUGCAGCGAUGGUGCCGAUGUGGGGUGGGGAAUGCGCUUUGUGUGAGCGAAAUAGAGAAGGAGCGUGGAAGGGUGUUUUGUGUGUGAGGGAGAAGAGAGUGGGAGUUAGAAAAUUUUGAGUAUUUGAGAAUAAGAGAAAUGAGGGGG